CCUACGGGAGGCAGCAGUGGGGAAUAUUGGACAAUGGGCGAAAGCCUGAUCCAGCCAUGCCGCGUGUGUGAAGAAGGUCUUCGGAUUGUAAAGCACUUUAAGUUGGGAGGAAGGGUUGUAGCCUAAUACGUUGCAACUUUGACGUUACCGACAGAAUAAGCACCGGCUAACUUCGUGCCAGCAGCCGCGGUAA
This 193-nucleotide ribosomal RNA is filed under the name uncultured Pseudomonas sp. RNAcentral's name for it is "partial 16S ribosomal RNA". It matches the Rfam family "Bacterial small subunit ribosomal RNA", at positions 338 to 523 of the family's 1533-position model. Lineage: Bacteria; Pseudomonadati; Pseudomonadota; Gammaproteobacteria; Pseudomonadales; Pseudomonadaceae. The record is from RNAcentral.